RNAcentral lists this transfer RNA (73 nucleotides) under Paramuricea clavata. It matches the Rfam family "tRNA". Rfam says of the family: Transfer RNA (tRNA) molecules are approximately 80 nucleotides in length. Their secondary structure includes four short double-helical elements and three loops (D, anti-codon, and T loops). The record is from Rfam by way of RNAcentral. Lineage: Eukaryota; Metazoa; Cnidaria; Anthozoa; Malacalcyonacea; Plexauridae.
GGGUGAUUAGCUCAAAUGGUAGAGCGCGCGCUUUGCAUGCGCGAGGUAGCGGGAUCGAUGCCCACAUCCUCCA